GACGAACGCUGGCGGCGUGCCUAAUACAUGCAAGUCGAACGCAUUUUCUUUCACCGUAGCUUGCUACACCGAAAGAAAAUGAGUGGCGAACGGGUGAGUAACACGUGGGUAACCUGCCCAUCAGCGGGGGAUAACACUUGGAAACACGUGCUAAUACCGCAUAAUUCCAUUUACCGCAUGGUAAAUGGAUGAAAGGCGCUUUUGCGUCACUGAUGGAUGGACCCGCGGUGCAUUAGCUAGUUGGUGGGGUAACGGCCUACCAAGGCUGCGAUGCAUAGCCGACCUGAGAGGGUGAUCGGCCACACUGGGACUGAGACACGGCCCAGACUCCUACGGGAGGCAGCAGUAGGGAAUCUUCGGCAAUGGACGCAAGUCUGACCGAGCAACGCCGCGUGAGUGAAGAAGGUUUUCGGAUCGUAAAACUCUGUUGUUAGAGAAGAACAAGGAUGAGAGUGGAAAGUUCAUCCCUUGACGGUAUCUAACCAGAAAGCCACGGUUAACUACGUG
RNAcentral lists this ribosomal RNA (507 nucleotides) under uncultured bacterium. RNAcentral describes it as "partial 16S ribosomal RNA". It matches the Rfam family "Bacterial small subunit ribosomal RNA", at positions 28 to 507 of the family's 1533-position model. The record is from RNAcentral.